Molecule: ribosomal RNA, 474 nt
Filed under: uncultured bacterium
Lineage: Bacteria
Description: bacterial SSU rRNA
Rfam family: Bacterial small subunit ribosomal RNA
Source: RNAcentral
ACUCCUACGGGAGGCAGCAGUAGGGAAUCUUCCACAAUGGACGAAAGUCUGAUGGAGCAACGCCGCGUGAGUGAAGAAGGGUUUCGGCUCGUAAAACUCUGUUGUUAAAGAAGAACAUAUCUGAGAGUAACUGUUCAGGUAUUGACGGUAUUUAACCAGAAAGCCACGGCUAACUACGUGCCAGCAGCCGCGGUAAUACGUAGGUGGCAAGCGUUGUCCGGAUUUAUUGGGGCGUAAAGCGAGCGCAGGCGGUUUUUAAAGUCUGAUGUGAAAGCCUUCGGCUCAACCGAAGAAGUGCAUCGGAAACUGGGAAACUUGAGUGCAGAAGAGGACAGUGGAACUCCAUGUGUAGCGGUGAAAUGCGUAGAUAUAUGGAAGAACACCAGUGGCGAAGGCGGCUGUCUGGUCUGUAACUGACGCUGAGGCUCGAAAGUAUGGGUAGCAAACAGGAUUAGAUACCCUGGUAGGAUAGCG